AUGACCAACAACAACGGCAAUGGGAAUGGCGGCAGCAACGCGGCGGCGAGUGGCUGGCUGGGCUUCUCGCUCUCGCCGCACAUGGACGAACACAACCACGUGCAGCAGCAGCAGCAACAACACCAGGGCCUAUUCUACCCCAGCUCCGUCGCCGCCGCCUACAGCCUCGGCAGCGACGUCGCCACCGGCGGGUACUAUUCGCAGCUAGCCUCCAUGCCUCUCAAGUCAGACGGCUCCCUCUGCAUCAUGGAAGCUCUACGCCGAACCGAUCAACAAGAUCACCACGGUCCGAAGCUGGAGGACUUUCUGGGCGCGGGGCAACCGGCGAUGGCGCUGAGCCUGGACAACACCUCCAACUUCUAUUACUACAGCGGCGGUGGCGGAGCAGGUGGGCAACACGGACAGAGCCACGGCGGCGGCUUCCUGCAGCAAGCAUACGACGUGUACGGCGGGCCCGCAACGGCAUCGGUGCUGGCGGCCGAUGAGGACGCCGCGGCAGCCACGGCCAUGGCGAACUGGGUGCAGGUCGCGCGCGGUGCCACCGCGUACGCCACAGCCGAGAACGUCUUGUCCGCGGCGGCGGACCGGCAGCAGCAUCUUCACCACCACCCUCUGGCACUCUCCAUGAGCUCCGCCGGGUCGCUCUCCAGCUGCGUUACCGCGGGGGCCGAGUACGGCGGCGUCGUGGCGACGGUGGACGGCGGGCGAAAACGCGGUGGCGCGACGGCGGGGCAGAAGCAGCCGGUGCACCACCGCAAGUCCAUCGACACGUUCGGGCAGCGCACGUCGCAGCACCGUGGCGUCACCAGGCAUAGGUGGACGGGGCGGUAUGAGGCGCACCUGUGGGACAACAGCUGCAAGAAGGAAGGCCAGACCAGGAAAGGGAGGCAAGUUUACCUCGGAGGGUAUGACAUGGAGGAGAAGGCGGCGAGAGCCUACGACCAGGCGGCGCUCAAGUACUGGGGGCCUUCCACCCAUAUCAACUUCCCGCUCGAGGACUACCAGCAGGAGCUGGAGGAGAUGAAGAACAUGACGAGGCAGGAGUACGUGGCACACCUUAGAAGGAAGAGCAGCGGCUUCUCGCGUGGCGCGUCCAUGUACCGUGGCGUGACCCGGCACCACCAGCACGGGCGGUGGCAGGCGCGCAUCGGCCGCGUCUCCGGCAACAAGGACCUCUAUCUCGGCACUUUCGGCACCCAGGAGGAGGCCGCGGAGGCGUACGACAUCGCCGCCAUCAAGUUCCGGGGACUCAACGCCGUCACCAACUUCGACAUCACCCGCUACGACGUCGACAAGAUCAUGGCCAGCAACACGCUCCUCCCGGGCGAGCUCGCCAGGCGCAACAAGGACGCCAACGCCGCGCCCCUGCCCCUCCCCGCCCCCGACGACUGCGCCGCCUCUGCCCUGGUGCCCGUGUCUACUCCGGGGACGGACACCGGCGGCAGCGGCCAGCACCGAAACCAGGACGUCAUGUCCUCGGGCGAGGCCUUCUCGGCGCUGCACGACCUGGUCACCGUGGACGGCCACACCGCGCAGGGCGGCAACGGCGCGCGCGUGCACAUGUCGAUGUCGGGCGCAUCGUCGCUGGUGACGAGCCUGAGCAACUCCCGCGAGGAGAGCCCAGACCGGGGCGGUGGCCUGUCUAUGCUCUUCGCCAAGCCGCCGCAGCAGCCGGCCACGACAACGGCGGCGUCCCCGAAGCUGAUGAGCACUCUGGCGCCGCUGGGUUCCUGGGCGUCGUCGGCGAGGCCGGCCGCCGUUUCCAUCGCUCACAUGCCCAUGUUCGCCGCGUGGAGCGACGCAUGA
RNAcentral lists this ribosomal RNA (1806 nucleotides) under Triticum aestivum (bread wheat). RNAcentral describes it as "partial small subunit ribosomal RNA". The record is from RNAcentral. Lineage: Eukaryota; Viridiplantae; Streptophyta; Magnoliopsida; Poales; Poaceae.